AGUGAACGCUGGCGGCAGGCCUAACGCAUGCAAGUCGAGCGGCAGCGCGGGGGCAACCCUGGCGGCGAGCGGCGGACGGGUGAGGAAUUCGUCGGAAUCUGCCUUUUUGUGGGGGAUAACGUAGGGAAACUUACGCUAAUACCGCAUACGUCCUACGGGAGAAAGUGGGGGACCGCAAGGCCUCACGCAGAAAGAUGAGCCGACGACCGAUUAGCUAGUUGGUGGGGUAAAGGCCCACCAAGGCGACGAUCGGUAGCUGGUCUGAGAGGAUGAUCAGCCACACUGGGACUGAGACACGGCCCAGACUCCUACGGGAGGCAGCAGUGGGGAAUAUUGGACAAUGGGCGCAAGCCUGAUCCAGCCAUGCCGCGUGUGUGAAGAAGGCCUUCGGGUUGUAAAGCACUUUUGUCCGGAAAGAAAUCCCUGGAGCUAAUACCUUCGGGGGAUGACGGUACCGGAAGAAUAAGCACCGGCUAACUUCGUG
RNAcentral lists this ribosomal RNA (484 nucleotides) under uncultured bacterium. RNAcentral's name for it is "partial 16S ribosomal RNA". It matches the Rfam family "Bacterial small subunit ribosomal RNA", at positions 29 to 507 of the family's 1533-position model. The record is from RNAcentral.